AGGGGUGUAGCUCAGUUGGUAGAGCAUCGGCCUCCAAAUCCGAGUGUCGCGGGUUCGAAUCCUGCCACCCCUGCCA
This 76-nucleotide transfer RNA is filed under the name Chloroflexota bacterium. Its description in RNAcentral is "Chloroflexi bacterium tRNA-Trp". It matches the Rfam family "tRNA". Rfam says of the family: Transfer RNA (tRNA) molecules are approximately 80 nucleotides in length. Their secondary structure includes four short double-helical elements and three loops (D, anti-codon, and T loops). RNAcentral also lists the same sequence under 5 other names. Lineage: Bacteria; Bacillati; Chloroflexota. The record is from RNAcentral.